GUUCCUGCAAAAGAAGAAGAGUGAGAGAGAAGAACUGAGAGAAAGUUUGAGAGAGAAAACUGAUUUGCGGGAGUUUUCAUCGGAGAAUCGCCGACGGAAUCCAUUCCCUACUAAGACCUAUACUCUGGAGCCCUUCUUGGAGUGAAGUAAGAACUCGCGUUGAGAUUUUCUCCUCUUUCAUCAAGAUCAGAAAGACAACCCGCAAGGGAAGAUCCGCCACUGAUCUUGGUGAGGAAAACGGACGAAACGACGAGAUCUGAGAAACUAUCCAAGAACGGAGGAGAGAGAAGCCGCGCAGCGCGCCACGUGUCAACCAACCAGAGGACCUGCGAGCGCCAAUCACCCCCGGACACGCGUCGAGCGCCGCCUGGGAAAACGCGGCUCCAGCCUCCUUGCGACACGCGUCCCUGGCAACGCAACUCGACCCGCGCCCGUCGGCCUACUCGAUAUCUGCACGGCGGGCCAAACCGAACCGACAAACCGCGGUCCACCCGAGCCACUGCGUCCGAACCGAACCCGCGACCCGCGACUGCAGAAAACUCUGGGCGCGUAACACUCGCGCAUGGAACCUGCGAGUGAAUACUCCCCGGCGCGUGGCUGGCGCGUGGAAGCGCGUGACCAAAUUGAGGAAAAGUCACCGCCUUUCGAUACGUCAAGUGUGUGAAAACGCUGCGUAAGGACACGCGUCGUCCGGGUAAGUCACCGCACGGGAUUUUAAGAAGUAAUACUUGUAGGAGUCGCUUGGAAUGCAUGCAUGCUAGUAUAAUCAUCUUAGGGCGUAGUUUCUCGUGACAGUAUGUAGGUAUUUGAUUAUUAAAGUAAAAUGCAUUAUGUGAAUGACUAUGAGAAUUGCCUGAGUAUUGUUAUUAAGUUUAAAGUUUCUGCUUAUUAUGUUUAUGGAUAUUCUAUGCUGAAAGGAGGAUGAGAAUUUGUGAAAUCUGUGCUCUGGGAGUUGAUGGACGUUAUCGCCCCGUUGAGCUUAUAUGUUUACCUCGCAUGAAUAUUGUUUAAUGAUGUUAGAUGUUAGUUAUGUACGAAUUCAGCUAAUUUCUAUGGCCACUUUUAUGAUUAAGUCCAGAGAUUCAUGGUUAGAGCGUCAAGUCACCAAGAAAUAGACUUAAUCUUUCCCUAUGAGUUUAACAGACCAUCACAGCACAUGAAAUACCUUUAGAGUACCCUUAGGCUACUUGUGUGUGGAUGGUGAUAUAGCUUCGUGGGGGACCAGCGGGUUCCUGAUCAGGACUCGACUGCUCGAUAGCCGCUUAGUAUGGGAAACGGGAUACCCACGUCGUAAUUGACCGUUUAGCUGGAUGGAAUAGGGGAGGUAGCCCUCCUAAAUACAGGGGGAUUAUCUUGGGACUAGGGGGUUGCAGCUCACUUCCUAGGCGAGACCCCAGGUAAUCUCAUACCCAUACCGAGGUAGCCACUCGCAAGGCACCAGCCCAACACAGGUUAGCAUAAAAGUAACUCUAGGGGUAUAAAUAAAAGGUCUGAGAACCAAAGAAGUCCGAAGGGACAAGUCCCAAGGGGAAAAGCCCUAAUGAACUAAGACCAAUAUCAGUUGUUCUAGAGCCGAAGGGAAGUCCGUGAUCAUUUGCUAAGUUUAGGGUGCGACAAGAGCUUACAAGUAGGUGGCUUACUGAGUAUAAAUUUUAUACUCAUUCCUGUUAUACCUUUUUUUUCAGGUACGUGAGGCGUCGAGUCUAGAGAGGGCGCGUUGAUCGACGUGGGUUGUCGCAGAGGAAGCGUGUCCCGGGGCGUCAAUCUAGUUUACUAAAUAGUACACUUUGUCUCUCAUGUUUCUUUCCUUGUUUUUACCUAGGCACAUAUGUCCUUUUUAGUAAAGAAACGUUUUUCUUACAAAAUAAAUGAAAUUCUUUUGCCGUAAAU
Molecule: long non-coding RNA, 1890 nt
Organism: Cucurbita moschata (crookneck pumpkin)
Lineage: Eukaryota; Viridiplantae; Streptophyta; Magnoliopsida; Cucurbitales; Cucurbitaceae
Exons: 4
Source: RefSeq, a predicted model, not a curated record